This 229-nucleotide ribosomal RNA is filed under the name uncultured bacterium. Its description in RNAcentral is "partial 16S ribosomal RNA". It matches the Rfam family "Bacterial small subunit ribosomal RNA", at positions 104 to 334 of the family's 1533-position model. The record is from RNAcentral.
CGGGGUGAGUAAUGUCUGGGAAACUGCCUGAUGGAGGGGGGUAACUACUGGAAACGGUAGCUAAUACCGCAUAACGUCGCAAGACCAAAGAGGGGGACCUUCGGGCCUCUUGCCAUCGGAUGUGCCCAGAUGGGAUUAGCUAGUAGGUGGGAUAACGGCUCACCUAGGCGACGAUCCCUAGCUGGUCUGAGAGGAUGACCAGCCACACUGGAACUGAGACACGGUCCAG